GCAAGUCGAGGGGUAACGAUGUCUUCGGACAGGCGACGACCGGCGCACGGGGAGNAUCGCGUUUGUAACCUACCUUUAACUGGAGAAUAGCCCGAAGAAAUUCGGAUUAAUACUCCAUAACACUAUGAACUGGCAUCUUUUUAUAGUUAAAGCUCCGGCGGUUAAAGAUGGGCAUGCGUGACAUUAGAUUGUUGGUGAGGUAACGGCUCACCAAGUCUACGAUGUCUAGGGGGUCUGAGAGGAUGGUCCCCCACACUGGUACUGAGACACGGACCAGACUCCUACGGGAGGCAGCAGUGAGGAAUAUUGGUCAAUGGGCGAAAGCCUGAACCAGCCAUGCCGCGUGAAGGAUGACAGCGCUACGCGUUGUAAACUUCUUUUGUACAGGAAGAAACGCUUCUACGUGUAGAAGUUUGACGGUACUGUACGAAUAAGCAUCGGCUAACUCCGUGCCAGCAGCCGCGGUAAUACGGAGGAUGCAAGCGUUAUCCGGAUUUAUUGGGUUUAAAGGGUACGUAGGCGGAAACUUAAGUCAGUAGUGAAAUCCUGCAGCUUAACUGUAGAACUGUUAUUGAUACUGGGUUUCUUGAAUAUAGUUGAGGUAGGCGGAAUGUGUAAUGUAGCGGUGAAAUGCUUAGAUAUUACACAGAACACCGAUUGCGAAGGCAGCUUACUAAGCUAUGAUUGACGCUGAGGUAC
This 699-nucleotide ribosomal RNA is filed under the name uncultured Bacteroidota bacterium. RNAcentral's name for it is "bacterial SSU rRNA". It matches the Rfam family "Bacterial small subunit ribosomal RNA", at positions 57 to 754 of the family's 1533-position model. The record is from RNAcentral. Lineage: Bacteria; Pseudomonadati; Bacteroidota.